RNAcentral lists this ribosomal RNA (253 nucleotides) under uncultured bacterium. Its description in RNAcentral is "partial 16S ribosomal RNA". It matches the Rfam family "Bacterial small subunit ribosomal RNA", at positions 524 to 776 of the family's 1533-position model. The record is from RNAcentral.
UACGUAGGGUGCGAGCGUUGUCCGGAUUUAUUGGGCGUAAAGGGCUCGUAGGCGGCGUGUCGCGUCGGGAGUGAAAGCCCGUUGCUUAACGGCGGGUUGGCUUUCGGUACGGGCAUGCUGGAGUGCGGCAGGGGAGACUGGAAUUCCUGGUGUAGCGGUGGAAUGCGCAGAUAUCAGGAGGAACACCAGUGGCGAAGGCGGUUGCCUGGGGCUUUGCUGACGCUGAGGCGCGAAAGCUAGGGUAGCAAACGGG